AUCUCGUUGGCUCAGUGGUAAAGCAUGUGACUCUUGAUCUCAGAGUUGUGAGUUUGAGUCCCACAUUGGGUA
RNAcentral lists this transfer RNA (72 nucleotides) under Mustela putorius furo (domestic ferret). It matches the Rfam family "tRNA". Rfam says of the family: Transfer RNA (tRNA) molecules are approximately 80 nucleotides in length. Their secondary structure includes four short double-helical elements and three loops (D, anti-codon, and T loops). Lineage: Eukaryota; Metazoa; Chordata; Mammalia; Carnivora; Mustelidae. The record is from Rfam by way of RNAcentral.